UCACUUACAAGGGACCCACCCCAAGUUCGCCGCCCAAUUCAUAAACUACUCUCAAUACGCAGUUUUUGGUCUAGGGUUUCCUUUAUAACCUCCUAUCGCAUCGUCCCCACCCCCUCAGCAUUUUACCCUGCUCCCCGCCGCAGCAAAUUGUUUGGACUGCAAAAGAAGAAAAAAGGAAGGGGAAGAAGAAGUAAGCAAAUCCUCGUCAAUCUGCAACAAUGAGAGCUAAGUGGAAGAAGAAGCGGAUGAGGAGGUUGAAGAGAAAGCGCCGAAAGAUGAGGCAGAGAUCGAAGUAACCCCGCAACAAAUAAACGUGCAAUUUUAAUCUUUCUUUAAUUGAUAUCGUGUUGUGUCAUGAUGAUGUGUUGAGACUUAAACUUUUAACUGCAAGUUUUAGUUUUUAUGGUACUUGAUGUAAUUCUGCAACUGGGAUUAUUAUGUGAAAGUCCGACUUAGGAAGUGGUCUUGUGAUAUUGGGCAGAUCAAUUUUCGUGUUGA
Long non-coding RNA from Coffea eugenioides, 498 nucleotides. RefSeq lists it as uncharacterized. The transcript is spliced from 2 exons. The record is from RefSeq and is a predicted model, not a curated record. Lineage: Eukaryota; Viridiplantae; Streptophyta; Magnoliopsida; Gentianales; Rubiaceae.